GCCUGAUCCAGCCAUCCCGCGUGAAGGACGACGCCCUAUGGGUUGUAAACUUCUUUUGUACAGGGAUAAACCUUUCCACGUGUGGGAAGCUGAAGGUACUGUACGAAUAAGCACCGGCUAACUCCGUGCCAGCAGCCGCGGUAAUACGGAGGGUGCAAAGCGUUAUCCGGAUUUAUUGGGUUUAAAGGGUCCGUAGGCGGACUCGUAAGUCAGUGGUGAAAUCUCACAGCUUAACUGUGAAACUGCCAUUGAUACUGCGGGUCUUGAGUGUUGUUGAAGUAGCUGGAAUAAGUAGUGUAGCGGUGAAAUGCAUAGAUAUUACUUAGAACACCAAUUGCGAAGGCAGGUUACUAAGCAACAACUGACGCUGAUGGACGAAAGCGUGGGGAGCGAACAGGAUUAGAUACCCUGGUAGUCCACGCCGUAAACGAUGCUAACUCGUUUUUGGGUCUUUAAGAUUCAGAGACUAAGCGAAAGUGAUAAGUUAGCCACCUGGGGAGUACGUUCGCAAGAAUGAAACUCAAAGGAAUUGACGGGGGCCCGCACAAGCGGUGGAUUAUGUGGUUUAAUUCGAUGAUACGCGAGGAACCUUACCAAGGCUUAAAUGGGAAUUGAUGGGUUUAGAAAUAGACCGUCCUUCGGGCAAUUUUCAAGGUGCUGCAUGGUUGUCGUCAGCUCGUGCCGUGAGGUGUUAGGUUAAGUCCUGCAACGAGCGCAACCCCUGUCACUAGUUGCCAUCAUUCAGUUGGGGACUCUAGUGAGACUGCCUACGCAAGUAGAGAGGAAGGUGGGGAUGACGUCAAAUCAUCACGGCCCUUACGCCUUGGGCCACACACGUAAUACAAUGGCCGGUACAGAGGGCAGCUACACAGCGAUGUGAUGCAAAUCUCGAAAGCCGGUCUCAGUUCGGAUUGGAGUCUGCAACUCGACUCUAUGAAGCUGGAAUCGCUAGUAAUCGCGCAU
This 963-nucleotide ribosomal RNA is filed under the name Chryseobacterium lathyri. RNAcentral's name for it is "bacterial SSU rRNA". It matches the Rfam family "Bacterial small subunit ribosomal RNA", at positions 381 to 1349 of the family's 1533-position model. The record is from RNAcentral. Lineage: Bacteria; Pseudomonadati; Bacteroidota; Flavobacteriia; Flavobacteriales; Weeksellaceae.